GACGAACGCUGGCGGCGUGCUUAACACAUGCAAGUCGAACGGAGUGGCGAACGGGUGAGUAACACGUUGGUGACCUGCCCUGCACUUCGGGAUAAGCCUUGGAAACUGGGUCUAAUACCGGAUAGUGUGGGAUGGGCGCGUGGCCUAUCAGCUUGUUGGUGGGGUAAUGGCCUACCAAGGCGGCGACGGGUAGCCGGCCUGAGAGGGUGGACGGCCACAUUGGGACUGAGGCACGGCGCAGACUCCUACGGGAGGCAGCAGGGGGGAAUAUUGCACAACGAGCGGACGCCUGAUGAAGCGGCGCCGCGUGGGGGAUGACGUCCUUCGGGUUGUAAACUCCUUUCACCAUCGACGCGGUAGAUGGAGAAGAAGCACCGGCUAACUACGUGCCAGCAGCCGCGGUAAUAC
RNAcentral lists this ribosomal RNA (408 nucleotides) under uncultured bacterium. Its description in RNAcentral is "partial 16S ribosomal RNA". It matches the Rfam family "Bacterial small subunit ribosomal RNA", at positions 28 to 526 of the family's 1533-position model. The record is from RNAcentral.